This is a long non-coding RNA of Sapajus apella (tufted capuchin), 849 nucleotides long. RefSeq lists it as uncharacterized. Lineage: Eukaryota; Metazoa; Chordata; Mammalia; Primates; Cebidae. The record is from RefSeq and is a predicted model, not a curated record. The transcript has 2 exons.
AGAAAAAAACAAAAAAUGCUCAACGUCACUAAUCAUCAGGGAAAUGCAAAUCAAAACCACGAUGAGAUAUCAUUUUAUACUUGUCAAAAUGACUAUUACCAAAAAGACAAUAAACAACAAAUAUUAGUGUGAGUGUGGAGAAAAUGGAACCCUUCUGCAUUGUUGUUAGGAAUGUAUAUUAGUACAGCUAUUAUGGAAAACAGCAUAGCAGUCCUCAAAAAAUUAUAGAGCUACCAAAUGACUCAUUAAUUCCACUAGUGGCUAUUUAUCCAAAGGAAAUAAAAUCAGUAUAGAUAUAGCUGCACUCCCAUGUUUAUUGCAACACUAUUCACAUUAACCAAGAUACAGAAUCAGUCUAAGUGUCCAAUAACAGGUGAAUGGAUCAAGAAAAUGCAGUGUAUAUACUCAAUGGAAUGCUAUUCCCCCAUAAAAAAGAAUGAGAUCCUGUCAUUUGUGGAAACAUGGAUGAACCUGGAGGUCUUUGGAUUAACUGAAAUAAGCCAGGUACAGAAAGACAAAUAUCACAUGAUUUCACUGAUUUGCAGAAUUUCAGAAAGCUGAUGUCAUAGAAAUACAGAGUAGAAUAGUGGUUACCAGAGGAUGAGGAGGGGUGAGGGGGUGGGGGGGCAUGAGGAGAGACUGAUCAAUAGGUACAAAAUUGCAGACAGGAGGAACAAGUUCUGGUGUUCUGUUGCACAGUAGGAUGACCAUCGUUAACAAUAUUGCAUUGUGUUUUUCAAAGUAACUAGAUGAAAGAAUUUUGAAUGUUCUCACCACAAAGAAAUGAUAAAUGUUUGGGCUGAUGGAUAUGCUAAUUGCUCUGAUUUGAUCAUCACACAAUGUAGACAU